RNAcentral lists this ribosomal RNA (305 nucleotides) under uncultured bacterium. RNAcentral's name for it is "bacterial SSU rRNA". It matches the Rfam family "Bacterial small subunit ribosomal RNA", at positions 335 to 658 of the family's 1533-position model. The record is from RNAcentral.
UUCCCUACGGGGGGCAGCAGUGGGGAAUAUUGGACAAUGGGGGGAACCCUGAUCCAGCGACGCCGCGUGAGUGAAGAAGUAUUUCGGUAUGUAAAGCUCUAUCAGCAGGGAAGAAAAUGACGGUACCUGACUAAGAAGCCCCGGCUAACUACGUGCCAGCAGCCGCGGUAAUACGUAGGGGGCAAGCGUUAUCCGGAUUUAUUGGGUUUAAAGGGUGCGCAGGCGGAGGUGCAAGUCAGCGGUCAAAUUGCGGGGCUCAACCCCGUACUGCCGUUGAAACUGCAUCCCUUGAGUGCGCGAGAAGU